CGGCCGGGGUUUUCUCCAAUGUGCGCAGGCGCUCUUGUCAACGUAACCUCUUUCCCAGGAUCCUUUUCGCUUCUGGUCUCAAAGUUCAAUCCCGUUCCCAGAUCACUGUGCCCUCGGUUGACCUUCACGGACCGGACGCCUUCAAAGAUGGCCGCUCCUUUGUGCAUUUGUGCGCAAAUUGUAGUUUUUCCUCAGGGACGAUGCGAGGAAGGACCUUUCGAUGUUUUUGUAGAGAAAGGCUUGAUUGCAGCGAUUGACAGGUGCACAGGAAAUUGUGGCAGUGAAAAAUUAACUUGUCAUUUUCUCACCCCUGGGUUUGUGGAUAUUCACAACCAUGGAAUGGGUACAAUCCCAUGACUGAUUAAUUUACAGGAGGAGCUGAUGAUGUUGCAGAGUUUUGGUUUAAUCCAGAUUUUACAAGAGCUAAGCUAGCUCAAAGUGGAACAACAUCGUUUCUGGCUACAGUUGUCUUCCCAGAACAUCCUCUGAGCAAUAAAAUGGGCAAACUUUUAAACACCCUGGAAAGCCAUGUAGGACUUGUUGACUGAGAAGGGGCUGUAUUAGAAGGGAUCCAUUCAGAGGGACCUAUCAUCACAGACCUUGGUGGUCUUCCAGGAAGUUACAAUGAAAUGACUUCUGAUGAGUUUAAACGGAUCCUUGAAAAGAUGCAUCAUUUAAAAAUCAUGACAAUCAGUCCUCACCCAGAAGCAUCUAAUGAUUACAAGAGAAUAAAAUGUCUUCUGAAAAGGGGUGUGGUACCAGCUCUUGGUCAUGAUAAACAAGCCACUGAGGAUGAAAUCCUAGCUGCUUUGUCUCUGGGUGAAACACAACAGUUUCAUUUGACACACCUUUUCAAUGUCUGCUCGUUCCAUCACAGAUCUCCAGGUCUGGUCAACUUUAGAGUCCUGGAUGAAUUGCCAAACCUUCCAAAGUACAGAGGCAUAAAAACUCCCACAGUGGAAAUCAUUGGAGAUUUAGCUCAUGUAGAUCCCCUAACAAUAUCAUUGCUGCUGAAGAGCCGUCACUUUAAGAACAUUGCUUUCAUAACUGACUUCCUGGAGCAAUUAUCAAGUAUGGAAACAGACAAAUGCAAGUGUCUCCCAGUGGUCGCACCAUGUCAAUUAUUGGAACAAACACCUUGGCUGGUAGUUGCAGCACUCUGCUUGAUACAUUUCAUUUGCUGUUGAACAUUUUUGGAGUCCCCAUAGGUAAAGCCGUGGCAAUGUUAUCAGAGAAUCCUGCCAGAAUUGCCAAGAUUUCCCACACUGGAAGAACAGAAGUGGGCAAAAGGGCAGAUCUGCUUUUAUUUAAUGAAAAUUUAAGCCUUCUAAGAACUGUAGUUUAUGGAAAAGUUGUUUUUCAAACAAACUAAAUCAGACUUUCACAAGAAAAUGGCUACAUAACCCACGCAUUUGGCAAUUUCUGUUUGCUCUUAAGGUCGGCACACACGAGGGGACUGCAACUAGUCCCCUGAAGAGUUUACACAAAGGGACUGGUCGC
RNAcentral lists this unclassified non-coding RNA (1500 nucleotides) under Orbicella faveolata. RNAcentral's name for it is "n-acetylglucosamine-6-phosphate deacetylase-like, transcript variant X4". Lineage: Eukaryota; Metazoa; Cnidaria; Anthozoa; Scleractinia; Merulinidae. The record is from RNAcentral.